AGUGAACGCUGGCGGUAGGCCUAACACAUGCAAGUCGAACGGCAGCACAGUAAGAGCUUGCUCUUACGGGUGGCGAGUGGCGGACGGGUGAGGAAUACAUCGGAAUCUACUUUUUCGUGGGGGAUAACGUAGGGAAACUUACGCUAAUACCGCAUACGACCUACGGGUGAAAGCAGGGGAUCUUCGGACCUUGCGCGAUUGAAUGAGCCGAUGUCGGAUUAGCUAGUUGGCGGGGUAAAGGCCCACCAAGGCGACGAUCCGUAGCUGGUCUGAGAGGAUGAUCGCCCACACUGGAGCUUGAACACGGUCCAGGCUCCUACGGGACGCAGCAGUGGGGAAUAUUGGACAGUGGGCGCAAGCCUUAUCCAGCCAUACCGCGUGGGUGAAGAAGGCCUUCGGGUUGUAAAGCCCUUUUGUUGGGAGAGAAAAGCAGCAGGUUAAUACCCCGCUGUUCUGACGGUACCCAAAGAAUAAGCACCGGCUAACUUCGUG
Molecule: ribosomal RNA, 492 nt
Filed under: uncultured bacterium
Lineage: Bacteria
Description: partial 16S ribosomal RNA
Rfam family: Bacterial small subunit ribosomal RNA
Source: RNAcentral